This 33746-nucleotide long non-coding RNA is filed under the name Daucus carota (carrot). Its description in RNAcentral is "long non-coding RNA (DCAR_LNC007503)". The record is from RNAcentral. Lineage: Eukaryota; Viridiplantae; Streptophyta; Magnoliopsida; Apiales; Apiaceae.
UUUUUUUUUUCUAGUUUUUUCUUGAUAUUGAUAUGUUUAAAGUUUGAUCGGACUUAAUGGAAUCUAUGCUUUUCUAUGUAGUAGGAAUAUUUGUAAUGCUUUGAAGCCUAGUAUUUUAGUUAAUUUUCUAAAAAUUAUGACCCUAAUACAUUCAGAGACAUGCAUAAACCUAUAUAUAAAUUAUGUUCAUCCUUGAAGUGAAGAUGAGAUACAAUAUAUUGCUAAUCCUCUGUCUAGACAUUCAAGGUAUAGGGAUUACCUUUCCUUGUUUUACGCUCUAUGCACAGAAAAUUUACCUUUGCAAUUAUAUCAUUUAAUAAAGAGUUAAAAGCGAUGUUACGUUGUGACAGCAAACGAUAGAUUUUCUAGUUGAAACAAGAUGACGUUUUCGUACUACAAGUUUUUAGAUGGGUUCCUAUUUUGUCUCACAUUUCUCAUCAAACAAAUAUUGACGUAGCUUAAAGAUUUGCUAUAUAUUACUGAUGUAUUAUUUUCAUUUCGAAAUAGAUACAUGUCUACCCAUGCAAUAUCCCUCAGCCAUCCCGGAAUCCGCUGCCGUUGUCUAGCUGCCUACGGAGAUGCUGUUAGUGCAGUAAAAUGGUAAGUUUUAUUAACUUUAUGGUUUUCAAUUGAGUUAUGUCUAUAUUAUUUUCAUGUAUAUCUACAACUACCUUCUAUGCAGGGCAAGUAGGCUUGGCAGAGAACAUCAUGAUGAUUUGGCUCAGUUUAUGCUUGGGAUGGGUUAUGCUACUGAAGCACUUCAUUUGCCUGGGAUAUCUAAGAGGUUUAAUUUGCUUCAUGCCAAGUUCUAAGUAUACUUGAUUCCAAUCUGUAAAGCAAGGCCUUUGUAUAAGUCGAGCUAUGCAUUCAAAUAGUUUAUCGUAGCGCUGAAUGUUUAUAUAUCAAUCUCGGUAUUCUUUGAAUUUUUUCUACUGCUACCAGAAUCAGGAAUUUUAUUGACUAAUUUGAGCAUAUUGUUUCAGAACUGUUGAAUAAUUUGAUUUUGAUGGAAUUUUUAAUUUACGUUUGCCAGAUUGGAAUUUGACCUGGCAAUGCAGAGCAACGAUCUGAAAAGAGCCCUCCAGUGUCUUCUAACAAUGAGUAACAGCAGGGAUAUUGGAAAUGAAACUGUUGGGCUAAACUUGAACGACAUUAUGAGUCUAACUGUCAAAAAGGAAGAUAUUGUGGAGGCAGUUGAUGGAGUAGUGAAAUUCGGGAAGGAAUUUCUUGAUCUUAUUGAUGCUGCAGAUGCCACUGCUCAAGGUGAGAUUGCUCGUGAAGCUCUUAAGCGGUUAGCUGCAGCCGGUUCAGUGAAGGGAGCUUUACGGGGACAUGAAUUAAGGGGAUUAGCCUUACGAUUAGCGAAUCACGGGGAGUUGACUCGACUUGGGGUAUAUCUUGAUUUUUUGCUUUGUUUUCUUUUUGUUUCGGUGUUCUAUUUCGCGUUAGAAUAAAAAAAUAAUAUUAGUUGGUGCAUGGCUUUUAGCCAUCUGCCUAUCUUCCAUGUCUGGUCUGUGUUCUAUAACUGCAUGUAUGAGUUGUGACUUGUGAGCUAUAUACUCUUCAGUCCUUUAGCACACAUUUAUGAACAUUUCUAACAGUUAUUUUUUGUUUGUUUUGCUUAAUUAUAGUCCAGGAAAUCUGCAAUAAAAUAAGUAGGUGUUAUCUGCAGUAUUCGGUGCACUUGAUGUUUGUAGAUAAAUUUGUGCAAUAGGUUUGUCUGUGCUGAUUUGUAUGAGUAACCUGAUUGGCAAUAUUUCCUGCAGGGAUUGGUAAACAAUUUGAUUGCUGUUGGUGCCGGACGAGAGGCAGCAUUUGCAGCUGCACUUUUAGGAGAUAAUGCAUUGAUGGAAAAAGCAUGGCAGGAUACUGGAAUGCUUGCUGAAGCUGUAUUACAUGCUCAUGUAUGAUACACUUUUUUAUUUACAACUUUUUCUGGCGUUUUAGGUUAGUUCUCUGGUCUGACCAUCCUAGUAUUCUGCAGGCCCAUGGGAGACCUUCUUUGAGGAGUCUGGUUCAGGCUUGGAACAAGGUUUUGCAGAAGGAGAUGGAGCAUGGUCCUUCAACCAAGACAGAUGCUGCAGCUGCCUUUUUGGCUUCUCUUGAGGAACCCAAACUUACCAGUCUAGCUGAUGCUGCAAAGAAGCUUCCCAUUGAGAUUCUUCCCCCAGGGAUGGCAUCUCUUUAUGCUCCUAAUCCUGGUCAGAAGAAAUCCACCGGUGCAAUUCAGGGUUCGCUACAAGCAGCAAACAAGCCAUUAUUACUUGAAGGUUCUAAUUCGACACCAGCAACUGCUCCUCAGGCUGCAGAAUCUGGAACUUCUCCAGCGGCGGAGGAAUCAGGCGCCCCUACCUCAGAAUCAGGCGCUCCCCCUACCUCAGAAUCCGAUGCUCCCCCUUCAUCGGAAUCAGGCGCUACCCCUGCAUCGGAAUCAGGCGUUUCCCCUGAACCAGAAUCAGGCGUUCCUCCUGAACCAGAAUCAGGAGCUCCUACUACACCAGAAUCAGGUGCUCCUACUACAUCAGAAACAGGUGUCUCAGAAUCAGUUCAAGUGCCAACACCAGAAACUGAUGCUCAUUCGACUUCAGAAUCAGGUUCUAAUCCUCCUCCAGAAUCAACUAAUGGUGCAACAGGACCCACAUCAGAAUCAAGUGCAGCAGUUGCAUUGGACACAAGUGAACGAUGUUCAGAUAAUCCAUCUUAUGCAUCCCCUGUAAGUAUGUCCAGUAUAGUACCAGCCGAAACUCCACAAACAUCUAGUAAUCCAGUACCGACAGAAGCUCCUAACCAGUUACCAGAAGUAUCAAAGCCGAGUGUCCGCCCAGAAUUACCAAUGAAUUUCUUUACUUGACACUAGCAACCUGGUAAAGCUGUUGAUUUUUUGGUAUACAGUGUGUUGUUUUUACCAUCAUAUGUUCUUAUGGGAGAGGAACUAUCAUCACAGAGUAUAAAGUGAGAGUAGGGUUUGUGUUGUGGCGGACUUGCUAUCUUUUACAUUUGGCUUGACAAUUGUUAUACUACUUUAGUGUGUUACAAUUCAUCCAUUCUUUUCCUCUGAUCUUGUAAUACUCCCAUGCCAAUUUAAACAUGUCUUUCUGUUUUUGAAGCUAUUCAAAAAGUGUAGGCCUCUUUUGUCUUGAAUGUCUUGGAUGCAUAGUCAAUUAUUAUGAGGCCACCUUGUCUGUUUUACAAACAAAUGUGGUGCUUCCUUCUGAUUGGUGGGUAGGAGAAAUGAAGUAUGCACAAUGGAUAUUCCCUUUUUUUGUAUAAGAAAAGGUAUUAAUAGUCUUCUUUUUUAACAUAAAUUUUCUUGGUAUUUGAUUAAGAUGAGUUCAACAUGAAUUCAUAUAUAUUUUCAUCAUAUAUUAUCUCUUAUAUUAAUAUCUAGAGAAAGACGAAUAUGUUUUUUAUUUUGGGAGAAGGGGUAGGUUCACGACCUUAGCUGGUUAACAGGAAUACACGGAAAUAGUAAUGAAAUUUUAGUAUAAAAACACAUUAUUUUCAUUCUCGUUAAUUGGAUUAAAUUUUAUCAUAUUAGUCGGAUUGAAUUCACAAAGUUGCCAUGUUCUUGGGGAUGAUCAAAUAGUAUUUAUUAUUUUUUAAUUUAGGCCCAAAAUUACUUUUUAAUAUUAACAUAUAUUAAAUCAAGUCUUAGAAAAAAUGGUAGUUGUGUGAGCACAAUUAAUCCAUAGGAUAACAUUAUUUAAUUUUUGUCUGAAACUAACAUUAUUUAAUUAUAUUCUAAUUCAAAAUAUUCCAAAAUGUUUGAGGCAAUUAGAACCAGGACAACUCAAAUUGUAAGUCUAUAAGUCACAUUAGUAAAAAAAAAAAAAUAGAAAUAUUUCAAAAACGUAAAGCCACCGACCCAAAAAAAGAGCAUCACGUGUAAUUUGUUGUAUUUAACUUGAAGAGAAAGCCAACGCCGUAUAAAACACCAUCUAGAAACUAACUUAGGGUCUGUUUGGGAUUACUGUUGAAAAUUGCUGUUGCUGUGAGUAAAAGUGCUGUUUAAAAAAGUGCUGUUUAAAAAAGCUGAUACUGUUUGGUAAACUUGAGUUCAAAUGUGCUGUUUGAAUAAAAGCUGAAAACAAAUUGUUUGGUAAAUUUUUUGUUAAACUGCUGUUUAGAGUUAUAAUUAUAAAUAAAAUAAUAUUUUAUUCAUUAUUUCAUAGACAAAUAUUAAACAACAAAUAUAAUUGUGUAAAAUUAGAAAAUAAAAACAAACUGAAACCUAUGAUUCUUGAUCUCAUGUUAAUAUAAACGUAAAGUCAUUGUUGUUUAAUACAAUACGAAUUACAAUGAAAAAAGUUUUAUACGGUGUAUUGCAUGCAUGUUUUGGUGUUCUAUUAACAGUUGCAAAACUAUAAAAUAUUUGUUUUCUUUAAAAUUUAAUUGAUUAUUUUGUAUGAUGUAUGAGGAUUCCGUCCCCCUGAGUUGUAUACAUUGGGGGACGGGGACGCGGCACGGACUUUAAUGCUCCUGUAAAGUGUAGUUGUGUAAUUUAUUUUUAAAAUUUUCUUUUUCUGAAUUAAAGUUUGGAUGUUAUAUUUUUAUUUAGAAAAAGAAAAUCUCAAAAAUAAGUUACGGAACUAUAUUUUAUAAGAGCAUUGAAAUGCGUGUCGAACAGUUGAAAAGAAACGUAUACAAUUAAAUGGGACAGAGGGAGUAUGUUUUUAUCUGCUUUUUUGUUUAGUGAAUUUCCGGUAUUUUUGUCCUCAUGUUAAANNNNNNNNNNNNNNNNNNNNNNNNNNNNNNNNNNNNNNNNNNNNNNNNNNNNNNNNNNNNNNNNNNNNNNNNNNNNNNNNNNNNNNNNNNNNNNNNNNNNNNNNNNNNNNNNNNNNNNNNNNNNNNNNNNNNNNNNNNNNNNNNNNNNNNNNNNNNNNNNNNNNNNNNNNNNNNNNNNNNNNNNNNNNNNNNNNNNNNNNNNNNNNNNNNNNNNNNNNNNNNNNNNNNNNNNNNNNNNNNNNNNNNNNNNNNNNNNNNNNNNNNNNNNNNNNNNNNNNNNNNNNNNNNNNNNNNNNNNNNNNNNNNNNNNNNNNNNNNNNNNNNNNNNNNNNNNNNNNNNNNNNNNNNNNNNNNNNNNNNNNNNNNNNNNNNNNNNNNNNNNNNNNNNNNNNNNNNNNNNNNNNNNNNNNNNNNNNNNNNNNNNNNNNNNNNNNNNNNNNNNNNNNNNNNGGUUAACAGGAAUACACCGAAAUAGUAAUGAAAUUUUAGUAUAAAAACACAUUAUUUUCAUUCUCGUUAAUUGGAUUAAAUUUUAUCAUAUUAGUCGGAUUGAAUUCACAAAGUUGCCAUGUUCUUGGGGAUGAUCAAAUAGUAUUUAUUAUUUUUUAAUUUAGGCCCAAAAUUACUUUUUAAUAUUAACAUAUAUUAAAUCAAGUCUUAGAAAAAAUGGUAGUUGUGUGAGCACAAUUAAUCCAUAGGAUAACAUUAUUUAAUUUUUGUCUGAAACUAACAUUAUUUAAUUAUAUUCUAAUUCAAAAUAUUCCAAAAUGUUUGAGGCAAUUAGAACCAGGACAACUCAAAUUGUAAGUCUAUAAGUCACAUUAGUAAAAAAAAAGAAAUAGAAAUAUUUCAAAAACGUAAAGCCACCGACCCAAAAAAAGAGCAUCACGUGUAAUUUGCUGUAUUUAACUUGAAGAGAAAGCCAACGCCGUAUAAAACACCAUCUAGAAACUAACUUAGGGUCUGUUUGGGAUUACUGUUGAAAAUUGCUGUUGCUGUGAGUAAAAGUGCUGUUUAAAAAAGUGCUGUUUAAAAAAGCUGAUACUGUUUGGUAAACUUGAGUUCAAAUGUGCUGUUUGAAUAAAAGCUGAAAACAAAUUGUUUGGUAAAUUUUUUGUUAAACUGCUGUUUAGAGUUAUAAUUAUAAAUAAAAUAAUAUUUUAUUCAUUAUUUCAUAGACAAAUAUUAAACAACAAAUAUAAUUGUGUAAAAUUAGAAAAUAAAAACAAACUGAAACCUAUGAUUCUUGAUCUCAUGUUAAUAUAAACGUAAAGUCAUUGUUGUUUAAUACAAUACGAAUUACAAUGAAAAAAGUUUUAUACGGUGUAUUGCAUGCAUGUUUUGGUGUUCUAUUAACAGUUGCAAAACUAUAAAAUAUUUGUUUUCUUUAAAAUUUAAUUGAUUAUUUUGUAUGAUGUAUGAGGAUUCCGUCCCCCUGAGUUGUAUACAUUGGGGGACGGGGACGCGGCACGGACUUUAAUGCUCCUGUAAAGUGUAGUUGUGUAAUUUAUUUUUAAAAUUUUCUUUUUCUGAAUUAAAGUUUGGAUGUUAUAUUUUUAUUCAGAAAAAGAAAAUCUCAAAAAUAAGUUACGGAACUAUAUUUUAUAAGAGUAUUGUAAUGUGUGUCGAGCAGUUGAAAAGAAACGUAUACAAUUAAAUGGGACAGAGGGAGUAUAAUUUUAAGUAAUGAUAUUAAAAUCAUAUUUAGAAUAUAAAAUCAUAUUGGAUAAAAUUUAUGGCUUUUUAUAAAAAUUACAGUAUUCUACUUAAAAAAACUACAUAAUUUCUGAAAAAUCAUUUAUAUUUCACACACAAAUAUAAAAUAAAAAUAAUUUCAUAUUAUUAACAUACAAUUUUUUUUAUGUGACUGAGACUACUUCUAUUUUAUUUAGAACACCAAUAUUAAUUCUUAUAUUUAUUUAAAAAUUAUAUAAAAAUCUUUGCCAUUUACCAAAUAUACUACUUAUGUUUAUUUUAUAUAUGUAAAUAUAUAAUUUUCUUCUUCAAUUAAUAUAUAUUACUCAACAAAUUUAAUUUUUGCCUCUAUACUAUAAUGAAAUUUUUUUAAACAAAAUUUAAUGAAACCAAAAAGAUAUAACUUUAAAAUUCAUUUAAACAAUAUUUAUUUCAAAUGUUUUCAUUUAAAUUUUUAUUAGAAAAAAUUCAGCAACAAUAAUCAUGUGUAGCCAACAAUAAUCCAAAAUAUAAUAAAAUGUGUGUUAUAUGUGUGUUUUGUUAUUUUGUUUUAAGGGUAAACUGCUACAAUAUAUUUUAUAAAAAAUAGUUGCUUCUGUGAGGGUUUGAUGCUGGGUCUGUAACAGCUGCGCGCAACAGUGCUUUUGUGAAAAGCAGGGGUAUACCAGCUUUUACAGAAAGCUGCUUUUGGACAAAAAGUGUGGUUAGAAAAAGCGCUUUUAAAUUUUACCAAACACCUUUUUACAGCGGUUUGAGAAAAAGCUGCUGUUGUGGUUUGAAACCACAACCCCAAACAGGCACUUAUUCAAAAAGUCAAAAAGUACCCCAUCAUAUACUCAUAUAUUACAACAUAUACACACGCCUCCGUACACCCCCAAUUCCUAAGCUGUUGGAACUUGUAAACCCCACCCUUACCCCCUCCCACCUCCUAUACUUACACCUAUACAUACACAAAUGUCUAAACCCUAAGAGCAAGUCCAAUAGGUUACCUAUAUGAUGUCCUAAACUCACAUUUAGGUAAUAUGUCAAAAAAAAUGUACUCCAACACUAUCUUAGUGUUAUCCUAAAUCAUUAGCACAACCUUAAUUCUCCUAACCAUUAUCUAUUAAUAAGUAACUUUUAACCAUUACCUAUUUAAUAUUUACGAAUAAAAUAAUCAUCUCUCUCCUUCUUUCUUUGUUUUUUCUCUCCUUUUCUCAUUCUCUCUCUCAAAUUUAUUAUUAAAAUAAUUUUAAGAGAACAAAUAUAGGGAUUGCUAUUGGAGUUGACACUAAAAUAUAGGGAUUGCUAUUGGAGUUGACACUAAAAUAUAGGGAUUGCUAUUGGAGUUGACACUAAAAAUAGAUUAUCUAAAUCACUAACACUCGCUAGGAUCCAUUAUUAUAUAUUUUUAAUAAGUAAUGAUAGGUAACCUAUUGGACUUGCUCUAAAACCACACCAAAACACACAUUAAAACACAUAGUAGUACCGGUUAGGGUUUCGAUUUGGUUAUAAGAUGCCUACUUUUACAUCAAUUGCUCUGGAGAGCUUGAUCGAACCGAGAUUUCGAGAUUCGUACAAAGAUUCCGCGAAAAAAACGGUGAAAUCUAUGAAGGAUGAUGAUGAUAAAGAGGUUAGAGAGGAGGAGGUAAGAAGCCGAGUCGGAACAGAGUGAAUAUCUCGCCGGCGUUGUAUAUAACGCCGGAGCCGACGCCGAUUGUGUACUCGUCGUCGGAAUCGGUGUCUCCGUCGCCGUAUGUGGCGAAUCGGAAAGGACGAGGCGGAUUGAGGCGGCGGAGUGAGGUUGUGGUUAGGAAGGAAGAGGAGAGGGUUGUGGAGGAGGAUGAAAAGGUGAAGAAGGAGAAGGAGAUGAGGGAGGUUGCGGAGGAGAGUGAGGAGUUUGUGGAUACAAGGUGCGAUACGUUGAGUGUUGGGAGUUCGAGUGAUGUCAAGGAGUUGGGGAGUGUCCUUGGAUGGAAUCCGGUUGAGUUUUACGAUGCUGAUGAUGGUGAGCUUUGAAAAUGUUUAUUUCUGUGUGUGUGUGUGUUUGUGUAUUUAUUUGACUUAAUUUUUGUUGAAAUUACAGUGUGUUAAUUGUAAAUGUAUGUGUUUAUUUGUUUUCUUUGUUGUAUUUACGAAGUGGUAUUUUGUUUUAGUUAGGUUUAUGUUGAUUAUUAUUGAGUAUAUGAUGUUUGUAUUGUGGUUUGAGUUUGUGACUAUUGGUAAAUGAAUGUUUGAUUUGUCGUUCAUUUUAGAAUUUGAAGGUGUUUGUUUGUGUUUUAAGAACUUAAUAAGUGUUAGGGGGGUCAUUAUUGGAUUUGAAGUAGUAGAGUGUAGGGGAGAUGAGGAUGUGGUUUGCUGAGUUUUUGUUGCAUUCUGUUUGGGACUAGAGUUCAGGGUGCUAAUGCUGAAUGUGUGGUAUGACAUGGAAUUGUUAUUAGGUUUUUUAUUUUGGCGUGACAUAUUGAAGAUGAUUUUGUGUUGACCAGGAUUCUAAUUAGGCCCUAGCUCAGUAAUCUAUGCACAAGGUUUUAAGUGAGUUUUUUGAAUAAAGAAAGGGUUGGUUAGGGUUCGCAUUGGGAUGAUCUGUUGAGCUGUUUUCGCUCUAGACUGUUAGGAUUUCAUAUCUGAUCAGAAUAAUUAGGCUCACUGUUACGUAUUUUUGGAAGAAUUUAAUGACCUAUUCACUACCAGGGUCAUAAGAUAUGUGGGCACUGCCUUAUUUAAUACAUGUAAUCUAGUCUUUUUGGUUUUCAUAUUGCUCCUUUUUCUCCUUUAUGAUUUAAUGAAGUAACUGGCCAUACAUUUGCAUACAUAAUAUGCUAAAUGCAAAUCAAUACAAUUUUUUAAUAAAGAAACAGUGUUAGUUUGUACCUGGAUUCCAGUUCAUGUCUUGAUCUCAGAAAACAGUAGUUUGGAUUCAAUUCUGCAAGAGAUUGAGAACUUAGCAAUUAAUGGACAAUAAAUACAUCUUUGUUAUUGCUUGUAUAUAGUAUUUAACUCUGCUUAUAACUUUUAUGUUUCUGCUUUUCUCAUAAAUAGUUAAAUUGUUUCGCAUCAGCUGGAAAACUUAUCUUUAAUUGCUAUGAACAAAUUAUGAUGGUGUGUUUAUGAAUAAUUUUGGGAUGAAGUGGAGCUCUGAGACCAAAUUCGGCAACCCUGUUUUCUUAUAGAAUUUCAAUUUGUUUCUUGAUACAGUGUUUUUAUUAACAGACCAGUUUUAGCCUCAUUUGUUCUCUUCUACUUGUCCAUAACUGCACAGAUGAUCACUGUAGUUUCAAUCUAUUUGGAUAUUUUUCCGUCUCCCACUUUACUCUAAAGAAGGCAUAUUAAAAUAAUUACUUAUAUGACUGAAUACAAUUUUGAAUUGGAAAAACAUGUUUUCAUUAGCAGGCUUGUUGUCAGUUUAGCUACUGCUGUGAAUACUGAAAUUUGUGCAUAUCUUUUGAUUAAACUAAAAUGAUCUUUUUGAUCUUCCAUACCGAGACUUUAUAACCCAGGCUUAUGCUCCUAAAUAUUCAAUUGAAAAUAGUUAUUGACAUUGGUAAUAUUUAGUAGCAGAUUUCUCUCAUGAUGGGUCCAUGUCAAGUACACAACAUUCUUGUCAUAGUAUCGAGUUAGAAAUGCGUGCCACAAGACUGAGCCUUCUUGAUGAGAUUGGAAAAAGAAAAGCUGAGGAUGUUUUUCGUCUGAUGUACAGCCAGUGGCAGAGGGUCGCUGAUCUUCUUUUGGCUCAAUCAGGAUUAAGAUUUCCAGCACCUUCUAAUUGCAUGCAAUUUGAAAUUGGUCCAGUAGAGCAGUUCUGUCAGGAACUUGUUGUAACUAGAUUUGUUUCUGAAGCAUUAGGUCAGGGCUUAGCACGUGCUGAAACUGAGAUUGCUGCAGAGGAAAUUUUUAAAGCUAAAGAUCAGGAGAUUUCUCGAUUAAGAGAUCGACUGCAAUAUUGUGAAGCUGUUAAUCAUGAAAUGUCUCAGAGGAACCAGGAAGUUAUUGGUAAGUACUGGUAUAAAAAUCUUGUUAGCUCAAGUGAUUUACAGUAUGGCUUGUGUUAUUCUUGUCAAAAAGUGGAGAUUUUCUGAUAGAAAAAUAGUGUAAAUUAGGGGUGUUGGCUCGUUCUUUCACAAUUCGAAGUAAGAUGGUCCAAAAAUCAUAUUCUGAAAAAAUGGCACCUUAUAUCACAUAAGAUGCAUGUAAAAAUUUACGUUUUUCUGAUAACACAAUUUGUUUUUGCAUUUUUAGCUGAUUUUCAAGUAAUAUCUGAAAAAUGAAAAACAUUCUUAUCGUCUGCUACUUAAAAAAAUAUUGGGCACCUGUGUUGCUAAACGCAAGCUGUACUUGGGUUCCUUUUCUUAUUUUUUCAAAUAUCUACAGCCCAUGCCCGUUAAAGGAGACAACCCAGUUAAUAUAUGAAUUGUUUAAAGUUUAUAAAUGCAUUUUUUUUGUUGCGUUUCUUUGUGAAACAAGGGGCCACUUUUCUGAAGAGUGUUAUUCUGGGCAUUUUAACUUCAAAUUGUGACUAAAAAGUGCCAUUUCUCGUAUAUUAGUAUUACAAAGGUCAUAAUGUCAUGCUAAUUCGAUAACCUUGUUUCAUAUGCUCUUGGUUUUGUAGUAAAUGAUUACAUACUGCGAUAGGUUAGAAUGUUGAUGUUACUGCCAUCACUUUAAAAACCUUUUAUAGCCUAAACUAUUUAGCUGGCCGGUGUGGUUUUCAUUCACAUAACUUGUGAGUCCCAAAUUGUGGUGCUUUAGCUAAUGUGGUUAAGCCUCAUUAUGGGAACAUUAAUUUUUUAGCAUGGCCUGGAUAACUUGAUCGAUUUUUGACUUAUGUAUUUAAUCUAACCAUGAAAUGCACAGAAGUUUGCGAAUUCAUCUUGUUUAAACUUCUGUUACUGUGUAUUUUUCAAUCUUGUUUUUUUCUUGAUUGUGUUGGUUUUUUGUUAAAAGGAAUUAAAUAUAACAAGUAAUGCAUGCAUGCAAGAGUUACAUUUAAAUAGAGUAAAUGCGUGUCUGUGUGUGUAUAUAUACUGGUAUGUAUAGUCUAUAUUGUUUCUGUUGAUUUGAUUUAAGACAUUACAUAACUGUAAGGAGAGCUACAUCUGUUUGUUGUUGACAAAAAAUCACUUGAAUGAUUGGAAAAUUAUAGUUGUCAAUCUUCCUCUUUCUAUAUUAUUGAGCAGAUAAUUGUAUUGUAUUUACAGUUUGAAGUUGAAUAACCCUUAAUCUGAUCAUUUUCAGAGGUAGCACGAAAGCAGCGCAAAAAGAAAAAAACCCUGCAGAAGUGGCUAUGGUGUGGCCUAGGUCUCUCUAUUACAAUCGGAGCUUCAGUGGUUGCUUAUUCUUGCCUUCAGCAGACAAGUAAAUAUCGAGCCUUCGCUGACUUCAAGUGAUUCUGUAAAUGCUACUGGCAUAAGUUCAUCAGAAUCGGCUUAAAGGGUAGGUAUCUAGUAUUAUCACGAAAUUUUUUGCUAUUUUGGCCUCUUGUUUCGUGAAGCAAUAACUAUAGAGCAAGCAAUAAUUCGCCGAUCUCACUCUUUUUGCAUGCAUGAGUUUAAUUUGAUAGUCUUCAGUACCGGACAUGCUUAAAUUUAGCAAGGUACAUAGCUAGUAUGUUACUGUGGUGCAAUAAUAUCACAUGAAUGGUAACAACAGUUGAGGCUCCCAAUGUAAUUUGAACAUGUUAGAUCGACAAUGAGCUUUAAGCUGCUGAACUAGUUGAAUCUAUAUUCUUGGUGGUUACUUCUUUAAUAUUCUGAACUUAUAGUAAACAUUCAUAGAGCAAUUAAUAUUGCAGUUGAUAUGCCCAUAAUGAAUGGGGAAGGAAAUCAAUAUAGCCAAAUCUGUUUACAAUGCUAGUGGUUAAACCUGCAGUAUGUAGCAUGUAGAUGUAGGCUCUGAAUUAUUGUAUUGCAGGCCCUGCGGUACAUUUUCCUCUGUAUUCCCAGUUAAUUACUUCUAGUAUGUGACUCUCUUGUUAUUGUAUUAAGAAUUUUGAAUAUAUCAUUCUUCCUUGACAAAUAGCAAAAUGUUUUAUUUUUCUUUGCUUUUGCCAUGCCACAACCCACAGGGUUUCCAUCUGCAAUCAUGAAUGCUUAAACAUGUGCAAAGGAUUUCCCUUCUAUGACCAUCCCAAGUUUUGCCAGCAGUGCGAGAGACGACUAAUUAAAUUUUCUUCAAGAACGGGCAGUAGGUGUAAAUCGAACAAUUUGGAAUCUAGUCUCGUUUUUCCUAUACUUUUUUUUUGCUAAAAGAUUUUAGUGUCUUUGACUAUUUCAACAACCCAUUUUGUAAGGAAAACCUACCAACCCCUACGAUUAAUUAGGUCUUGAUCUAUAAAUCUAAAGUUUGCACGGACGAAAUCAGAGGCGUUAUCAUAGUGUUUACGAUAUGGAAAUUUUUGAACAAAAAUAUCAGCACCCAGCUUCGGGCCAAUUUUUCGGGCGAGCUAAAUGAUUUAUUCCCAAUAUGCUAGAAACUUAGAGCCUACUGCACUCUUCUCGUUUGUGUGAUAAAAAAUUAAUAAAAAUUAGCAUGCAUUCGGGUGAUCAUCAAACCAUUAAAUGUGAAUUUUUUUGCAUGUGAUCACAGUUUGAUCGCUGAUAAAUAGCUAGGUCGGUGAGGGUUGCAAUUUGAUAUCAUAAUACGUUGAAUCGCAAAUUUAUAUAUUAUAUAUUAUACGGAAUUAAUGUACAUAUACAUAUGUUAACAAGUCGGUCUUUAAAUUAAAAUCACUUUAAUUAUUAUUUACUUAAUAUUACAAUUUUUUUAAUCAUUAUUUACCUAAUAUUAAAUUUUUUUUAUAGCACUACGAUUCAACUAGAUCUAAAAGUAUUUCAAAAAAUAACACUAGUAUUACAAAUUUAUGUGAGUUUAUUAUUGUUAAUAUUAUUUGUUUGAAGCAUUUUUAUCUGACUAUCUUCAUAAAUUCUGCUGCUUCGUUAUGUUAAGUAUACAAAUUAAUGUUACUUUUAUGAGUGAAGUGCACUUUGUAUACUCCUACUCCACUCAGGACAUGAUAAGUGCAUAUUUUUGUAUAUUUUAAAUGCCUAAUAUCCGAGACAACCAAGUUCGGUUGAAUCCGGCCAAAUGCUCAUUCGGCCUGACAGGAGGCAAGUUCCUGGGCCACCUCUUGACCCACCGAGGCAUUGAAGCUGACCCAUCUCAAAUCAAAGCCAUUAAAGAAAUGGAACCUCCCAGGACCCUGAAGGACUUACAGGUCCUCACAGGCUGCAUCGCUGCUCUAUGACGUUUCAUCCCACAGUCAUCUAAAAGAAGCCUACCACUAUACGAAGCCAUCCGGCAUGCAGCCAAGGCCAACAAGUUCGAAUGGACAAAGGAAUGUGAAACCAGUUUCUCCAGUAUAAAAUAUUUUCUGUCAACCCCACCAAUUCUAACGAAAGCUACACCUGGGGAACCUUUGAAAGUUUAUCUGUCCGCCUCAGACUCAACAACAGCAGCUGUGCUGGUAAAAGACGUCAACGGCGAACAGGCUCCCGUCUACUACGCCAGCCACCUAUUGAAAGAUACAGAGACAAGAUAUAGCAGGAUAGAAAAAUUGGUGCUAGCUUUGGUCAUGGCCAGUCGAAAGUUAAAACACUAUUUCCAGGGCAGGGAUAUCACCGUUCUAACGAACCAACCGCUUCGGUGAAUCCUCCACCGCCCUGACAUGACCGGCAGACUCGCGGCAUGGACGGUAGAGCUAAGCCAAUUCAGUCUCGAGUUCAUGCCCAGAACGGCAGUUAAGUCUCAAGUACUAUCUGACUUCAUCGCGGAGUGCAAUUUCUCAGAACCAACCCCAGCUGGCUCGGGUCAACUUCUCUGCGACAAAGCAUGGACCUUAUUCACUGACAGGUCAUCAACCUCAGAGGCAGGAGGAGCAGGGGUCCUCCUCAUAAGCCCCGAGGGAUUCAAAGUACAGCAAGCAAUACGCUUCAGCUUUUCAACCACGAACAACGAAGCGGAGUACGAGGCUCUAAUAGCAGGCCUCAACCUAGCAAAACACUUGGAAGUGAAAAUCAUUGAUAUCUUCUGCGACUCCCAACUCGUAGUCAAACAGGUCUCGGGAGACUUCAAGACCUCCAAUGACAGAAUGGCCGCCUACCAAAAAGUAGUGGUAAAUAUACUGGACACACUGACCUCAUGGACCAUAAAGAACAUAGCUAGGUCAGCAAACCACUGGGCAGACGCUCUCUCUAGGCUUGCUACCUCUACAGCGACACAGUCCCAGGACCCGAUUUACAUUAAUGAAUUGUCCCAGGCUUCUACCAUCAGAAAUGAGGUCAAUCUAACCAGUCUCGCCCCCGAUUGGAGGACUCCGUUUAUUGAUUUCAUCAAGGGCACUCUGCAAACCCAAGACAAAAAUGAGAAAAGAAAGAUCGAAUUCAAAGCGCGAAAUUUCUGCCUCAUAGACGACAAGCUUUACCGCCGGGCCUUAACGGAGCCUCUCCUCAAAUGCGUAGGACCCGAUGAGGCCCUCGUCGCCAUGAUAGAAAUUCAUUCAGGCAUAUGCGGAGAGCACGCCUCAGGGAAAAACAUGGCCUUGAAGCUGAUAAAGCACGGAAUCUUCUGGCCAACCCUAAGGGCCGAUUGUGAGGAAUUCACAAAAAAAUGCAAGCCAUGCCAACUUUACGGCGCGAUGAACCAUCGACCUGCAACAGGCUUCUCCGCUUCGCAGGCUCCGUGCCCAUUUUUCAUGUGGGGAAUGGACCUCGUCGGCCCGCUCCCCAAAUGCCCAGGUCAGAAACAAUUCCUCAUUGUGGCAAUCGACUAUUUCACAAAGUGGGUAGAGGCUAAACCACUCGUCGGGAUACGAGAAAUAGAAACAAUCGAUUUCUUCAUGAGUCCAUAGUCUUCCGUUUCGGGGUUCCUCGCAUUAUAGUGACCGAUAACGGCUCUCAGUUCACAGGAAAAGACUUCGAAGAGGCUCUGGCCCAACUAAAGAUUAGCCACAUCAGAUCAUCAGUGGCAUACCCCCAGGCUAAUGGGCAAGUAGAAAUCACCAACAAGGCAAUUCUACAAGGGAUCAAAAAGAGACUCUUGGAAGCAACUACCAACUGGGUAGACGAACUCCCCAACGUCCUUUGGGGUCACAGAACCACCCCGAGAGCAGCCACAGGGCUAUCUCCAUUCAAAAUGGCGUACGGGACAGAGGCUGUGCUUCCCGUGGAAAUAAGUAUGGGAUCGCCAAGGAUAGAGGACUUUUCACCUGAGAAAUCUGAAGAGAGCCUGAGACUCGAGAAUGACCUGAUCGAGGAAUCUAGAGAUAAAACUCAACUCAAAGUGGCCCAGUAACAGAAAAAAGUGGCCCAGUACUACAAUUCCAAGGUUAAAAUCAGACACUUCGUGGAAGGCGAUCUGGUGCUCCGCGUAGCCGCCGCCUCAAUGCCCGCGAGGCAAAGCAAGCUUUCAGCCCCAUGGGAAGGGCCCUACAUAGUCACUAAGGUUGUCAGGCCAGGCACCUAUCGACUCAACAACCUCAACGGGUCACCCGUCCUCAACACAUGGAACGCCAUCCACCUUAAAAAAUUCUAUCAGUAAAACAUCACAACUCCAGUAAAGGAAAGAAAAUCUCCAACCCACAAUCAAGGCAUAGAAGCCAUCCACCAAUUCUCCGCAGGAAGAAGAUUAUCAUCGUCAUUUUAGGAUAUUUCUUAAUAUAUUUUGUUAUGUUAUCAAAACAUCUUUUAGUUGCACCUAGGCAUGUAGCCACUAAAACCUUUUGCUUUAAAAUCGUUUUAAGUAACGUGUUCAAAAGCUCUUGUCACAAAAUCUUUCUAUAUAUGUUUCUGAAAUCUCAAAAUCAUUCUAAAACAUACUAUUUGACAUCACAAGUCACACACAUACACCAUUUUCAAAAAAAAAAAGAAGAAGAAGAGAAAUAGAGGAAGCAAAGCAAGAAGGAAUAAACGCCACACAAGGCAAAUCGCCACAAGCGCCGCUAUGAGGCAAAUCGCCAAUCAAAAUUAGAAAGCAUAAAAGACGCCAUCUCAAAACAUCAGGAGAACUCCUGAAGAUAAGAACGCAAAAGCAAAGGAAAAAGAAACAAAAAGACACGCCAUAACACAACGAAAACUCCAUGGAGUACACCAAAAAGUACCAGCAUAAUUCUACUCCACAACCAAGUUAUAGCGCAACAUUCCAAGAUGAAAAAGUCGAAAUUACACCAUACCUCUGAGGCAUCCCUCAGGAAUUCAAAUCAAGUCCAGAAAAACCAAACUCCCAAAAGUCUAAGCAACCAAAAGCAAGUUAUAUUACAAACUCCCCAUUAUGGGCAUACCCAGGGUUUCAACAAAAUAAAAACGCCGUACAGGCAUCAGGCGCCAGGGCCAUCUGGAACAGAAGAGUUAGCCCCCUCAUCUCGAGCUCGGGCCACGUCCUCAUAGUGAUGACCAAAAGUAUGAGGCCCCAUGUCAUAACCAGCUUUGACAGCGCGCUCCCAACAAAGGACAUACCCGUUCUCAAGGGCAGCAAAGGCAUCAUCUUGGCUCGUCUUCAGAGCAUCCUCGACUGCAGCAAGCUUUUUCUCCAGCUGCACCUUGUGCUUACCAAGUUCAGCAAUAACUAAGCUACUGUCAACCCUCAUUUGGGUCACCUCCCCGGUCAGCUCCGAUUGAAUGUUUUGGUAGGAGGCCACCAAGGCAUUCAGGACCUCCUUAUCAGCUGUCAGCGCUUCAACCUUUUUCUCUAGAUCGGCAACGACCCCACUAGCAUCUCGAUUCUUGCGUCCAAGCGCAGCAACCCGCUUUUCAACAUCAGCUUUGCUCCUUUGCAUCUCUAGCACAUCAGCUCGAAGGCGGCGAAGCUCCGCCUCUUGGUUCCCACGAACUCCCAAAGCCACAAGACGAUCGAACUCCACAGUAAACUGCAAAAACAAAACUCUGUCAAAAAAAAAGAGAGAGAAGAAGAAGCAACAGUACAUAUAGGAGCUAAUAAAGAGCAAUUAUCCCAAGGAAAAAGUCCCAACAAAAAGGGUAAAGACAAACCUGGUCAAGCAGAAUCUUUGCCGACGAAGCAGCACGGGUGGCAGAGAACACCUCAUCAACAUCACGCCUUCCAGGCUCAUCACCAAGUAGCCCCACAACCUCUUUCCCAGGGGAAUCCACCCCCUCAGCUCCAAGACCACGAAGCUUAAUCACAUAUUUCGUCUUCUUCAAGGGCGGUUUCAAGCUUUCUUCCUCAGCCUUUCGAAUGCGCUUACGAUCAGAAGUCCGAGUAGCAACAGAAUCACGGCCAGCCCCAGACACUUCCCCUAACAGCUCCAGCGAUCCACUAGCAUCAACAGGCUCACCCUGUGGUUUAGAGGUUUCCUCGAAAUCCUUUUCUCGAGAAUACUCAAUACCCCUACCAGCCAUGGAAGAGGCACCCCUCUUAGCAAUCAUCGACAGCAUCGCAGCACUCAACAUCUUUCGAGGAGACUUCAACAGCACCCGCAACGGCUCCCCAGUCACUGUUACAAACAGAAGACACCAAAAAUUUUUUAGAAACAAGAAACAAAAGCACAAAACAUCAAGCAAGCAUAAUUUCUUACAACAAUGUGAAAUCAAAAAGUCAUUUUUCGUAAACUCCUCAGAUGAGAACAUCUUCUUUCUCUCUAAGAAAGAGGUCAAAACAGCCUCAGGCAAGCCAGGAAGAUGAUUUAACUCAUGAAGCCAAUCCUUGGAAAUAUCACUCCACGGGCUAACCAAUCCCAACUCCCCACCAGCAUAAUGAGCCCACUUUCCAUGCCACCCGGUGUUGGAGGAACGAACAUCAACUAGGCGGACUCGGCCAAGCUUUUUGUCCAAAUAAAACUGGCCCCCCGCAUAUUUCACCCGGUAAAUCGAGAGCAACAGAUCAACAGUGGGCACCUUCUUCUUUUCAAAGCUUUGGGCAAUGACCCCGCACACCUGAACCACGGCAUUAGGAGCCAGUUGGGCCACACCGCAGCCUAAUAGCUCAAGCAAAGCAGAGAACAAAGGGUGCAUGGGCAGACGAAAACCCAAUUCAAAGAACAAGAGCGGAAUCGCCUGCCAUCCCUUCUGAGGCAUAUGCCAUAUCCGAUCCCUCUCUCCAGGGAGAUGGAGGGAAUACACGCCGUCAGUCCCACAAUAUUCCUGGAGGGCGGCAAACUCAGGGGAGUCGGCGGUAAUAAUGCUCCGUUGAUAAAAUGAAGGCUUCGACCGAAACAACCGCUUUGCCUCCUCGGACACAGGGGAAAAAGAGGGCAAAACCCCCGCUUUCACUGGAGUUCGGCGAGUCAUAUCCAAGAUAAGAGGAUCAACAGAUUCAAGAAUCUCUAAAUCAUCGUCCAAAGACUCAAGAUUGUGCGAAGAAGAGUGGGGAACGUAAGUAGGAGACAAAGGGGUUAAAUCAUCGUAUACAGUAUCACCAAGAGCCUCGGCUUCCGAGAAAGAAGAAGAAGAGGGGCGUAGCUAUGAACAAGACAUGACAAAAAGAUUAGAAAAAGCAAGAGAAGAAAUUUACCUAGAAAAGUACAAGUGAUAGCCUUGAGGAAGCGUGUCUCGAUAAUGAACAAACACGGAGCUUUAAAUCACAGAAGGUUGAUCGACACAAGUAAUCCCAAGAGGCGCCGGUUCCCAAGACAAGUUCAAAAAAUAUAUAUAUCUGAAAAACAAAAGGGCAAGAGCCAAUGGACCGAAAACCCCGGGCUCGUCUAAAGACCAGCCUCAACUGGGGGGGGGGACUAAAUGUUGGGCCAUAGCCCCGAAGAAGAAAGGCCUGCCAAAAAGCCCAUAAGCACCAAAGGCCUGUAAACCUAGCACGUGAGUAGCACACGUAAGGACUAGUAUAUAUAGAAAGCAAAGAUACCUGUAAUGGGAGAGGGAAAAUAGAAGAGUAAAAGGAUAUAUAUACAUUAUGGUUGUAAGUAUCAACAUCGAGUUCAUGCCCUUUACUGAGUUUGUUAGGAAUAUGUGAUGCUUGAUGAUACAAGGUAUUUUAUUCUUACUUAGAAUAAAAUUGCAUGUAGCUGAUCAAUUGGUAGCAUGCUAAGACAGUAUCAAUUGAUCAGAUUGACCCAUCAACGGCUGAUGAGGUAUUGUAACAAAGCUGGAGCAUUUUAGCAGUUGAAGUAAAAUAAUGAGUACUUUUAGAUUAGCAGUUGAUCUAUCAACGGAUGUUUAGAUAGGGUGACAUAAUUGAAUUGGGCCAUAGCCCCGAAGAAGAAAGGCCUGCCAAAAAGCCCAUAAGCACCAAAGGCCUGUAAACCUAGCACGUGAGUAGCACACGUAAGGACUAGUAUAUAUAGAAAGCAAAGAUACCUGUAAUGGGAGAGGGAAAAUAGAAGAGUAAAAGGAUAUAUAUACAUUAUGGUUGUAAGUAUCAACAUCGAGUUCAUGCCCUUUACUGAGUUUGUUAGGAAUAUGUGAUGCUUGAUGAUACAAGGUAUUUUAUUCUUACUUAGAAUAAAAUUGCAUGUAGCUGAUCAAUUGGUAGCAUGCUAAGACAGUAUCAAUUGAUCAGAUUGACCCAUCAACGGCUGAUGAGGUAUUGUAACAAAGCUGGAGCAUUUUAGCAGUUGAAGUAAAAUAAUGAGUACUUUUAGAUUAGCAGUUGAUCUAUCAACGGAUGUUUAGAUAGGGUGACAUAAUUGUAAAUAUGAGAAGUCAUGUAAUCUAUUCAAGUGAAGUGAAGAUCGAUCGGUAAUUUAAAGUAUCAAUGGCUAUUUGGAAAGAAGAUUAUCAACCGCUACAUCAACAUCAUCAUUAUCCCAUAACUCAAAGAAGACAAUCAACUGCUAUUUCAGUGUAUCAUCAAUUGAUGAUAUUAGCAAUUGAUUAUCAGCAAUUGACAGCUGCAAGUCAGGGAAAAGACAAAGUCCACAUGGGUUGAUGUGACAGAUGCUGCACCAGCUUUGGAAGCUAAACCAAAAGGAGUUUAGUCAAAUAUUGAGAACCUCGAAGCCUACCAUUUCUGGCAAAGCAACAAGAAUUUCAAGCUGCCAAAUGCAGUAUCAAGUCCAAGAAAUUCUAUAUUUGUACUAGCUAGAAAGUGAGUAGGAAAAUACUUUUACAGACUAGUUUUGUUUGUAGUAGUAUAUAUUCACUUUGUAAUUUCACAUUUCAAAGUAUCAAACACCAAGAACUGAAGAGCAAAGUAUUAGAAAAAGUUAGCAAGAAAUUGUAAGCUUCUGCUCUUCAUUCUUUGUAAGCAGCCAAGUAUUUUUACUUGGAAGGUUCUUGAUAUAAAAAUCUCUCAGGUGGAUCAAACAAUCCACCUGAAAUUUUUAAGAUCCUUGUUCUUUAAAUUUCUGUUUUAGCUUUUAUAUUCUCUUGUAUUUUGAAUAUGAUCUGCUAUGCAAAAAGAUAUUGAAUUUUUUGUAGAUUGUAUUCAACCCCCCCCCUCUUCUACAAUCUAACUUAUUGUUUGAAUUGUCUGAAUAACAAUUGGUAUCAGAGCCAGGCUUCUAACAUACAAGAAGUUUUAGAUCCUAAAGACAAUCAACAAUGGGAAGAAGAGAUGAAGGAGUCAAGAUUCCAAUGCUGGUCAAAGAACACUACUUUCAUUGGAAAGUGAAAAUGAGGAUGCAUCUACUCUCCUUGGAUCCUAGCUACAUCAACUGUAUUGAGAAAGGACCACAUGUUCCAGUUAAGAUCAACACUGCCCUGAGACUUGAUGGAAGUGAAGCUGAAGAUGUUGAAGUGCCUAAAAAUCCUUCUGAGUUCACUGAGGAAGAUGAGAAAGAAGUGCACAAGGAUAACAAGGCUAUGAACAUUCUGUUCAAUGGUAUUGAUGAUGACAUGUUUAUCGUGUUAUCAACUGUCCAACUGCAAAGGAAGUAUGGGACACCAUUCAAACCUUAUGUGAAGGCACUGAUCAAGUUAGGGAAAACAAAAUGCAGCUGUUUGUUCAACAGUAUGAGAGCUUUCACUCUAAAUCUGGUGAAUCUCUAAAUGAUUUGUUUAACAGAUUUCAAAAACUGUUAAAUGGAUUAAAGUUGUAUGGUAGAAUCUACAUGGUCAAGGAUUCAAAUCUCAAAUUCUUGAGAGCUUUACCUAGAGAUUGGAAACCCAUGACUGUUGCUCUAAGACAGGCUCAGAAUUUUAAUGAAUACUCUCUUGACAAAUUAUAUGGUAUUCUUAAAACAUAUGAGCUUGAAAUUCAGCAAGAUGAAGAACUGGAAAAGAACUUCAAAAGGGAGAAAACUGUGGCUCUUGUGGCAGAAAAGGAAGAGGAAGAGGAGAAGACAUUAAAGUCUGUGAUUGCUGGAAAGACCUCAAGCAGCUCUGCUUGUGAUGGAAAGAAGCAUGAUGGAAAGAAGAAAGGAAAAGUCAUUGAGGAAGAUGAAGAACCUUCAGCUCAAGAUGAGCUAGAUGAUCUUGAUGAACAUCUAUCAUUUCUUGCCAGAAAAUUCUCCAAACUCAAAUUCAAAAGAAAUGCUGUCAGCUCUAGACCAUUCAACAGAGGAAAUCAAUCUAAAUCAUCUGGUAUGGUUGAUAGAUCAAAAUUCAAAUGCUUCAAUUGUGGUCUACCUGGACAUUUCUCUAAUGAGUGGAGAAGAUCCUCUGCUGAAAAGAAAGGAUCCUCCUCAGAGAAUGUAGACUAUAGAAGAAAAUAUUUUGAUCUACUCAAGCAAAGCAAGGAAAAGGCAUUCAUAACUGAGGAUGGUGACUGGGCUGCUGAUGAAGGUGAUUCUGACACUGAGGAGCAUGUCAAUCUUGCUUUGAUGGCAAUUGGAGAUGAUGCUGAUUCUUCUACCACCAGCAAUGGACAGGUAAAAACAACCAACACAGCUGAUCUCACUAAAUCUGAAUGUAAACAAAUCAUUGAUGACAUGUCUAAUGAAAUCUAUAACCUUAGAGUCUCUCUUAAAUCUCUAACAAAAGAAAAUGUUAGAAUUAAAGGGACUAAUGAUUUGCUUGCUGAAAGAAAUGGAAAGCUUGAAACUGAAUUAAUCCAAAUGGAUAAAUUCAAAAAGGCUUCUGAGCUUGCCAAAGAUGAGUUGUUGGCUGUUCUAAAAAGAGAAGAGAUUCUCAAAAAGCAAUUGGAAAGGGAACAAGAGAUUAUUGCUAAAUGGAAGGACUCUAGGAAUGUUCUUGAGAACAUGUGCUCCCACAAGUUCUUGAGGAAACUUGUAAGAGUGCCUGGAGAUUCUACCCUGCUCAGCAAUUUUGAGGAGAGAGCUGGCCCAAGUAUAACCUUUGGAGAUGACAGCAAAGGAUUCACCUUGGGAUAUGGCAUAAUUUCAAAAGGGAAUGUCAUCAUUGACAAUGUUGCACUAGUGAAAGGGCUUAAGCACAAUCUGCUUAGCAUCAGUCAACUAUGUGACAGAGGACAUCAAGUUUGGUUCUCAAUAGAAGCCUGUGUUAUCUCUGAUAAGAAAGAUAACAAAGUGGUUUUAACUGGAAAUAGAAAAGGAAAUGUCUACAUAGCCGAUUUCAACUCAACAAGUGCAGAUUCUCUUACUUGCUUAUUCAGCAAAGCAAGUUUGGAUGAGAGUUGGCUGUGGCAUAAGAAAUUAUCUCAUUUAAACUUCAAGGCUAUGAAUGAUCUUGUGAGAAAAAAUCUUGUUAGAGGACUGCCAAAAUUGGAAUUUUCCAAGGAUGGUCUGUGUGAUGCUUGCCAAAUUGGAAAGCAAAGAAAGUCCUCUUUCAAAAGCAAACUAAAAUCAUCAAUUGAUAGACCUCUACAGCUUCUACAUAUGGACUUGUUUGGACCAGUCAACAUAAUGUCCAUUUCAAAGAAGAAGUACUGUCUGGUGAUUGUGGAUGAUUUUACAAGAUUUACUUGGACUUAUUUUCUUCACUCCAAGGAUGAAGCAAGUGAAAUCAUCAUCAAUCAUAUCAAGAUAGUUGACAACAUUGAUCCAGGAAGAAAAGUUUCAAGGAUCAGAAGUGAUAAUGGGACUGAGUUCAAAAACUCUGUAAUGAAGAGUUUCUAUGAAGAUAAAGGAAUUAACCAUGAGUUCUCUGCUGCAAGAACUCCUCAACAAAAUGGUGUAGUUGAAAGAAAGAACAGAACUCUUAUUGAAGUUGCUAGAACAAUGCUUGAAGAAUCAAAGUUACCUACCUAUUUUUGGGCUGAAGCUGUUAACACAGCAUGUUAUACUCAAAAUAUCUCUUUGAUCAAUCAAGCACAAGGAUUGACUCCCUAUCAAUUGUUCAAAGGGAAGAAGCCAACAUUAAACUUUCUGCAUGUCUUUGGAUGCAAAUGUUUUGUGUUAAGAAAUCAAGGUAAAAAUCUUGGUAAAUUUGAAGCAAAGGCAGAUGAAGGAAUAUUUGUUGGAUAUGCUGCUGGAAAAGCCUAUAGAGUUUAUAAUUUAAGAUUAAACAUUGUUAUGGAAUUCAUCCAUGUGAUGUUUGAUGACAAGAAAAUACAAGGCUUAGAUGAUGAAGGAUUUCAUGAUGUUCUUCAAUUUGAAAAUGAAUCUGAAGGAAUAAUUGAACUGGAAAGUGAUGAUGAUGACUACUUUGAAAGGGUAAAUUCUGGUGUAAUUCCUCCAUCAACUGGUAAUAAUUUACCCAAUACCAGAACAUCAGUUGAUGUAACUCAAUCUACAUCAAUGGCUAAUGAUUUAUCCAAUACUAGUUCAUCAAUGGCUGGUAAUUCCAGGUCCAUACACUUAGGGGGAGCCUCUCAAAAUGAAACUGACUUUACAAAUGAAGCCAGUUCAUCCAGAUCAAAUCUUCCUCCACAAAGGAAAUGGACAAGAGAUCAUCCCUUUGAGCUUAUUAUUGGAGAUGCUACUGCUGGUGUCAAAACAAGAAGAGCUACUAUGGAUGAAUGUCUCUACAGCAGCUUCCUCUCUCAGGAAGAACCUAAAAAGGUUGAAGAAGCCCUUCUUGAUCCUGACUGGAUUUUAGCUAUGCAAGAGGAGCUGAAUCAGUUUGAAAGGAACAAAGUGUGGAAGCUGGUACCCAAACCCAAAGAUAGAGCAAUUGUUGGUACAAGAUGGGUAUUCAGAAAUAAGAUGGAUGAAAAUGGUGUGGUGACAAGGAACAAAGCAAGACUGGUUGCUAAGGGAUACUGUCAAGAAGAAGGAAUAGAUUAUGAUGAGACAUUUGCUCCUGUAGCCAGACUUGAAGCCAUAAGAAUCUUUCUUGCUUAUGCUGCUCAUGCUAAUUUCAAAGUCUAUCAAAUGGAUGUCAAGAGUGCUUUUCUAAAUGGUGAGCUUGAAGAGGAAGUUUAUGUAAGUCAGCCACCUGGUUUUGAAGAUCCAAAUUUUCCAGAAUUUGUAUAUCUUCUCCUGAAAGCUCUCUAUGGACUGAAGCAAGCACCUAGAGCCUGGUAUGACACCUUAUCACAGUUUCUUCUUGAGAAUCACUUCACAAGAGGUACUGUUGAUAAGACAUUAUUUUAUAGAAAUGUUAAUGGUUCUAGUAUAAUUGUUCAGAUUUAUGUGGAUGACAUUAUAUUUGGUUCUACAGAUGAGAAACUUUGUAAAAAGUUUGCCAAGCUAAUGCAAAGUAAAUAUGAAAUGAGCAUGAUGGGAGAAUUGACUUAUUUUCUUGGUUUGCAAGUCAAACAAGUGAGUGAUGACAUAUUUAUAAGUCAAACUAAAUACGUCUAUGACUUAUUGAAAAAGUUUGAUCUUAUAAAUUGCUCAACUGCUAAAACUCCCAUGGCCACUGCCACUAAACUUGAAUUGAAUACUAAGGAAAAGAAAGUGGACAUUUCAAGUUAUAGAGGCAUGGUUGGUUCUCUUUUAUAUUUAACAGCCAGUAGACCUGAUAUAAUGUUUGCCACAUGUCUUUGUGCUAGAUUCCAAGCUGAUCCUAGGGAAUCUCAUUUAAUAGCAAUUAAAAGGAUUUUCAGAUAUCUCAAGGGUACUCCAAAUCUUGGCAUUUGGUACCCUAGAGAUUCUGGCUUUGAUUUAAUUGGUUUUUCAGAUGCUGAUUAUGCAGGGUGUAGAAUUGACAGAAAAAGCACCACUGGCACUUGUCAAUUUCUAGGAAAUAAACUAGUCUCUUGGUUUAGCAAAAAGCAAAACUCAGUUUCUACAUCAACUGUAGAAGCUGAAUAUAUUGCAGCUGACAGUUGUUGUGCACAGAUUCUGUGGAUGAAAAAUCAAUUGGUUGAUUAUGGAUUGACUAUUUCCAAGAUUCCUAUUUUCUGUGACAACACAAGUGCCAUUGCCAUAACAGAAAAUCCAGUGCAGCACUCAAGAACAAAGCACAUUGACAUAAGGUAUCACUUCAUUAGGGAACAUGUAAUGAAUGGAACUAUUGAACUUCAUUUUGUUCCCAGUGAAAAGCAGCUAGCAGAUAUUUUCACCAAGCCACUUGAUGAAUCUACAUUCUCAAGAUUAGUAAGUGAACUUGGUAUGUUAAAUUUCUCUAGUUAAUAUUUUACCUAUUUUAUGCAGCCUGUGAUAAGUGACAAAUAGGAUAUUGAACUAUCUUUCUCCAUUUAUCCACUAUCGAUCGCUAUUUUAGCCAUUGAUAGUGUGUCACAUAUCACUGGAUAAGUAAAUACAAUUUUGACAUAUCGAUGGCUCUUUUAUUUAGCCAUUGAUAUGUUAAAAUAGCAAUCGUCUGUUCCCAAUUUAAUUAUCGAUCGGUAUAUACAUACGUAUAUGUAUAUAUCAAUCGGUGACGCUUGGCUACUUUUUGAACGGUUACUUUAUUUACUUUUACUGAGAGUAUAAAUAGUUUGCCUUUAAUUUCAUUUCUCUUUUCACCUGCAUUUGCAAACUCUUAACUCUCCUUCUCUCUCAACUCCUACAAGCCCUAAUCUUUUCUUAAGCAUUCUCAUGGCGCCUAUUGUCAAAAUCACAAGUCAAACUGGGUUCGUCUAUGAGCAGAACAAUCAUGUAGCCUACGUGGACAAAGAUGGGAAACAUUCUGCAGCUUUUAAUACCAUGAUGGAUUUCAUCAAGGAGUGUAAGUUUUCAUAUGCCAUGCUUCAUGCUCCAACUAUCUUCUGUGAGAUUGUUGAGCAAAUGUGGACGUCUGGAAGGUAUGACUCAACCUCCAAAACUCUGUCUGUUUCUAUCAAUGGUACUAGCUACAAUAUUAAUGGUGAGACUGUUAGGGCUGCUCUUAACUUGCCUAGGAACUCUACUGAUAGAUUACCUAGUGAUAAUGAAAUUGUCAGCAUGCUUAGGAAUAUGCACUAUAAUGGUGAUUUAUCCUGCUUAGGACAGAUUCUUAGGCGUUAUAUGCGUAAAGAGUGGAGUUUUCUGUGUGAUUCCUUUAUUAAAGUCUUUUCUGGUAAAGUUUCCAACUAUGAUGCUUUCACAAUGUCAAUGCAAUCCAUGUUCUACAUGCUUAUGACAGAUGAUUACUUUAACAUUGGUGAUUUAGUAUUAUAUGAAAUUAUUGCUAAAUUGGGUCCUCAUGAAGGAAGACCCAAUAAUGUUUAUUUUGCUAGAUUCUUGAUGAUCAUUGCUAAUCAUCUGGUCAAAGAUUUAGUAAUUGCACAGCCAGAAAACAGGUUGGACUGCUGGGUGCAAAGCAAAAGGGUCUGUGGUGAUCUGAUGAGGAUACUUGCAAAUGAUCAAGUACCCUUGUCACUUCCAUCACUGAUGCAGGUACCCUCUAUUCCUAUCACUUCUUCUAAUCCUCAAUCUUCUUCUACUUCCUGUAUAGCAAUGGAAGUUGUACACCCCCAACUUCCUACCCAAGCUGUCAAAACUAAGAAAUCUUCUAAGUCCAAAUCCAAGAAAACCACCUCUGGUGUCUCUCAAAAGAUACCAGUUGUAACAACUUCUUCACAACCUGAGGGAAGUGUGAAGGUGGUGAGUGGUGAGGGGAGGGGUGAUCAUCAAAGAAGCCCCCAGAAUAAGGAAGGAGAGGUGAGUGAUGAGCCAAGCCAUCCCACAUCUUCCCAAAAAGAUGUGGUGAUUAACAUGGAAUCAAACUCAUUACUAGUGACAUCUUCUCAACAAGGUGCCACUAUUGAAAAGAGCUCUCCUCCAAGAGCACAGAACAAAAGGGGAAGGGACACUGACCAAACACCUCCCAAAACCUUCACUAGGAGAAACAAGAAAAGGGCACUUGACACACACUCCACUGUACAGUCCAAAAUUACAGAUUUUGUGACAAUACAGACCACUUCUCAAAUUCAGAUUGAUGUGGCUCCAAUAAAUGUGGAGUCACAGUCCCCUCCUGUUGAAACACUCUCUCCAAUCUCAGAUUUCCAUAUGGAGGAUGUUGAUCUACUAUACAACAUCCCCCACCCAAAUUCUCCAACUCUGUUCUUGGAGAAGUCCAUCUCUGAAAUUGGUGAUCAUCCUUCAUAGGAUUUUUUUGCUAUUUACAUUCCUUUGUUUAAAUCUUUGUCUUAUCUGUUAGCUCAAUUUCUUCUGUGACUACUAGUGAAGUUGUGGAAUUACCAAAUCCAUCACUCUUCACAGAUUCACUAGUUGUCACUAUUGAUGCAUCAACUGCUAAUGCAUCAAUUGCUACUUCUUUCACAUCAUCGAUCGGUAUUUCUCACCAAUCGGUAAGUGCAGUUCUGUCAAUGGCUGUGCUUGACAGCAAUCAGCCGUUGAUGAAUGACAAUGUAGCAUCAAUGGCUAUUCCUCAGCCAUUGAUAGAAGAAGUUCCACUGGCAGAUGCAACUCAAUUAGAUCAUCUUGCUGUCACAAGAGCUGUCAGUGAAGAACUUAUCAUUGUUACUGCACUUUUAGGUCUGAGAGAAAGUGAGUUAGUGGAGAGGCUGUCUUGCAGACAUGCACAAGGAGAGGCUGAGAGUGAGAGGCUGGGAACUUCUUCCUCCCAGGCAAAAAGAGAGAUUGUGGGUACCACAUUAGAUGGUGAAGGUGAGCAUGUGGUGAGCCAGGGUGAGACCCUGAUGCAAGAAUAUAGAGAUUAUGAGAGAAAUGCAGGUACAGAAGAAACAAGGAUGGAUUCUGCUGUGGACCCCUUGGAUGCCUCUACAUUCACCCAUCCAGUGUCAGCCUAUCAAAUUAUGGCUGGCCAAUCCAAUGUCCUAGCAGAAGAAACUUUGGGGUUGCUUCACACAUCUGAAGCACUGGAGAGAGCAAAAAUUGCACAUGCUGCUGUUCCUAAAGGCAUGCUCUCUACACAGGGUGAUUCUAAAUACGAUGACUCCCUGGCUGAUGAAGAUGAUGAUGAAGAUGAAGAAGUAGCUGGACCUUCAGAAAUGCCAGAUUGGGUGUUCAGCCAAAACUUCAAUUUUGGUGACACUAAGAUGGAAAUUCUAAGGCAAUAUAAGAGAGCAAUGGAGUGGGCUGAAGAUGAAGAUCCAAUGAAGAAAACUCUCUCUAUGUUUGUGAAGGAUAACUUGAGACUUCACAAAUCUCAUCUUACUCAACUCAGACAAGAAAUUGGAGAUCUUCAUACUGCAGUCUCUGAUGUUAAGAAAGAUAAUGAGAAAAAUCUGGAUGCUAGAAUGUCUUAUGACACAAUGGCCAACAUAAGAUCCAAGUUGCAUCAAGACUCUCCACUUGCUGCCUCUAUUGAUGCUCUGGACAAAAGAGUAUCAGAUGUUGAGUGUCAACUCAAUCAAGUUCUUAUCAAUCAAAACACUCAACAGAAGUUACUUCUUACUCUCCUCCAAGCUCAGAACAUCCCAAUUCCCAGUGCCGUGCUUGUUGAUUACAAAAAGGGGGAGAAGUCUUCAAGAGCAGUUACUUCUACUUCUACCUCUCUCACUACCUCUCUCACUGUUCCUGUCUCUGUCCCUGAUAUUUCUGCUACACCACCAUCAACCACCAUCUCUACCAUCUCUGAAAUUCUGCCUCUACCCUCCAAAGAUCAAUUGCCUACAUCUGAGGGGGAGCCACUAUCUAAGGGGGAGCAACUUGCCCCUGUGUCAAAAUCCAAAGCCCCUCCAGUUGAAAGGAAGAAGAAGCCACCAAAGAAAACUAAGACUGUCAUAGUCAAGAGCAUAAAAUGUCAAGGUGAGGCAUCUUUUGUGAAUGAGUUCAAACCUUGCAUGAUUGAUCCUCCAUCCCCAACAAAGCCACAUGGUAAGAACAAGCUAGCUACAGAUUUCCCAAUGCCAAAAUCAGAUAAGUCUAAGCUACUUGGUCUUGCCUUUCACAUGGGAACAUUUGGCAAGAAGUGGAAGGAGACUGAGGAAGAAAAGAAAGAGAGAGAGAAUGCUGAAAAGGAGAAGGCUGAGCAAGAAGCCAAAGAUCUUGCAGAAGGGAAGCCUAUUAAGCCAAAGCUAGUUGUUGGUAAAUUAGAUCAAGACUCUGUGUGGAGAUCUGAAUUUGCCUACAUUACAAGGAACAAUCAAGUUAUAUGUGUGCCUCCUGGACACCCCUUGUAUGCUAAGGCCAAAGAGGAACAGGAAAGAACUCAAGGGCACUCUGCAAAUAAAGAUGCAUACAUUGAAAGAUUUGCUGCAGAAUUGCUGCAAGAACUUGGAGAAGAAGUUGGUGAUUUGGCUGAUGAAUCUAACAUUGCUAUUCAGCAACAAAUUCUGGAUGAAGCCAAGAAAAAUAUGGAAAAGAAGGCUAAAAAGAAGGUCAGGGCUGGUGUGAAGAAAAAUGUACCAAACUUGACUGUGGUACAUGAAGAAGAAAAAGUUAAGUCUCCAAGACAAGAUACACCUCCUGCUUCUACUGCUCAAUCAGAACCUCUCAUAAAUCCAGAAGAGCUAAAAGAAGAACCUGUAGAGUUUGACAUCUCAUCCAUGAAUUUUCCAAAAAUCUUUGUAACUAAAGAGGAUGAGCUGGCAGACUCUCUAAAGCCAAGGAAAAACCAAACUGGAGGAAAAGCCAAACACAUGCCUAGUAACAUCAAAAAGAAAGGAGGAAAUCCUAAAAGGCAUGAUCCAGUUGGACCUAUUCAAGUUAAGCCUCCCUCAAGAGAAGUGGUGAUCCCUCCUGUGCCAGAAAUUGUCAAGGUUCCUAAAUCUUCUUUUGCUUAUGCAUUUCAUAUCAGUGAACAGCCUCCAAUCAAUCUGUAUCUGAAUGAAUUGCAAAGUGUGAAGGCCUUGACAAGGACAAAGAAGCUUCCAGAAAGGUUGGAAUUCCACUACUCACCUCAAACAAAAAUUGUGUGGCCACUAGAAAGGAUCUUGGAUCAGGAUUACAAUGAUUUGAAGACAGUAUACAUGAAGCUGGACAACAGAACUUCAUACUCACAGGGAAUCAGAAGUGAAAUUCUCAAAAGAAUUGAAGAUAUAAGGAAGAAAUGGAAUAAACCUUCUGAUCUCCCCUUAAGAUUGUCCCUUCCUAAUACUGGUAGCUGCAUUCACAAUCAUCCCUCAAGACUGAUGACUUUUAGAGAUGAUCAAGGCAUUAAAAGAUUUUUCAGAUUAAAAGAUCAUGCUAGAAAUGCUGAUAUAGAUAUCUUGAGGGCAAUCCAGAACAAACUCAACUUUAAGAUCACAGAAGAGGCCAAGUUCAUUGAAGAUCUAGAGAGGGAGAUCAACAAGAAAUUGUCCAAACAGAAGAAAAGGAAACAAUGAAUAUCUGCUCAGUCUAGAGGAGCAAAAAAAAAAAACCAAUCCUUGUAAAACUCUUAUCUUUCAGCAAUUUAAAUUUUCUUUCAAAUACAAAGAUAUCUGUUUUCCUUAUUAUGUGUUUUGUAAUCAUCAAGCACCUCAAAUUUAUAUGUGAAAUUCCUACAGAUAUAAAUAGGGGGAGAUUGUUAGGAAUAUGUGAUGCUUGAUGAUACAAGGUAUUUUAUUCUUACUUAGAAUAAAAUUGCAUGUAGCUGAUCAAUUGGUAGCAUGCUAAGACAGUAUCAAUUGAUCAGAUUGACCCAUCAACGGCUGAUGAGGUAUUGUAACAAAGCUGGAGCAUUUUAGCAGUUGAUGUAAAAUAAUGUGUACUUUUAGAUUAGCAGUUGAUCUAUCAACGGAUGUUUAGAUAGGGUGACAUAAUUGUAAAUAUGAGAAGUCAUGUAAUCUAUUCAAGUGAAGUGAAGAUCGAUCGGUAAUUUAAAGUAUCAAUGGCUAUUUGGAAAGAAGAUUAUCAACCGCUACAUCAACAUCAUCAUUAUCCCAUAACUCAAAGAAGACUAUCAACUGCUAUUUCAGUGUAUCAUCAAUUGAUGAUAUUAGCAAUUGAUUAUCAGCAAUUGACAGCUACAAGUCAGGGAAAAGACAAAGUUCACAUGGGUUGAUGUGACAGAUGCUACACCAGCUUUGGAAGCUAAACCAAAAGGAGUUUAUUCAAAUAUUGAGAACCUCGAAGCCUACCAUUUCUGGCAAAGCAACAAGAAUUUCAAGCUGCCAAAUGCAGUAUCAAGUCCAACAAAUUCUAUAUUUGUACUAGCUAGAAAGUGUGUAGGAAAAUACUUUUACAGACUAGUUUUGUUUGUAGUACUAUAUAUUCACUUUGUAAUUUCACAUUUCAAAGAAUCAAACACCAAGAACUGAAGAGCAAAGUAUUAGAGAAAGUUAGCAAGAAAUUGUAAGCUUCUGCUCUUCAUUCUUUUGUAAGCAGCCAAGUAUUUUUACUUGGAAGGUUCUUGAUAUAAAAAUCUCUCAGGUGGAUCAAACAAUCCACCUGAAAUUUUUAAGAUCCUUGUUCUUUAAAUUUCUAUUUUAGAUUUUAUAUUCUCUUGUAUUUUGAAUAUGAUCUGCUAUGCAAAAAGAUAUUGAAUUUUUUGUAGAUUGUAUUCAACCCCCCCCCCUUCUACAAUCUAACUUAUUGUUUGAAUUGUCUGAAUAACAGAGUUUAGUUCUCCUUUGUUUUGUAUGUCGCAGAGUCGCCAUUCCGAGUCGUUUUUGUUUCUGGGUUUUGUAUUUCGUACUCUGUCUCGCAGAGUUCUGUCCUGCACCGAGUUUGUUUUCUGAGUUUUUCUUGUGUUUAGUCAAGUUCUACUGGCUUUGUAUCGAGUCAGAGUAUGUAUUCAGUUUGUUUGCGAUUUGUAGGCUACCGAGUCUGAGUCAUUUAGUUGCCGAGUUCAUCCUGCAGAGUCAAGUCUCCCUGGUUUUAGUUUAUUCAUUUAUUUUGUAUGUUCAGUAAACCUGCCUGUUGAAUUAGUCAUGUCAGGAUUUGUUUUAUUUUAAUUGUCUUGUAGUUUUGUUUCUUUGUUUUGGUAGCUAGCCGAGAGGAUUAUUUCUUUGCUCGUUUCUGAUUUGACUAGGCUAGUAAUCAAAUGGGUCUGGUAAUUGAAUUGUGAAUUUUUUAGUUUUAAGUUUGCUUGCUUUUACGUGUUAAUUAAUUUUGUUGAUUAAAUUGUGAUAAUUAAUUUUAGUUAAUUAGAUUAAAGAAUAUAAUAAUUGAAAUUAGUUUUUUUAGAAUAAACCCUCUUUCACAAAUUAAUUGUUCUAAUUCGCCUAGAUUAAGAAUUAAGGUUGCGAAAAUAAUUUUAAUCUCUGUGGAUCGAAUCAUAAAUAUUAAAACGGUGAUCGUGCGCUUGCGAUUUAAAAAGUAAUCAUUUUUAGCACAUCAGGACACUAUUUGUAAUACUAUAGUUCUAAAUUGAGCACUUGCAAUAUCAAUUUUUGUAUUUCAUCACACUUUGUUGUAUUCCAUUAAUUUGGGUUAACUCCGUUAGUAAUUUAAAUAGUAAAGGGCAUUUUGUGUACUCGCACUUUAUUUAAAGUGCAUUGUGUGUACUCGCAUUUCACGGUAAAUUUUCAACUAGAGUAUUGCAAGUGAUGUUUUUUAGUAAAGUGCGAGUACACAAAGUGCAAUUUACUCCUUAAAUUACUAACAGAGUUAACUCAAAUUAACGGAAUACAACAAAGUGUAAUGAAGUACAAAAAUUGAUAUUGCAAGUGCUCGAUUUGGAACUAUAGUAUUACAAAUGAUGUCUUGAGUGAAGUACGGGUACACAAAGUGCACUUUACUAUACUUUUAUUUAACAUCCACCAAAUCGCAAAAUUAUAUUUAUAUAUAUAAACCGCACAGUAUGGUUCAUGCGAGGUGGGUCUCUGAUUAGAUGAAAAAACCGUGCCUCCCACACCCCAAUCAAUACUGGCAUGCAUAGUGCAUAUAACCCUAAAAGCCAACAAUAUUUUGUUUGUCCAAUUGUUGGAGAUAGGCUACAUGUUCAAAAUUUGUAAGCUAAAUAUUUUCUUAUAUAAUUUUCUUUCCCCUAAUUGUUUCUCAAGUUCUCAAGAACGUCAAAAGCAUAUGAAAAUGGAGCAACUACAAAAAUUAUCAGAUGGUACAAUCACUGAGAAGUAUAUGAAUUUAAUACUUUGCUAAUUCCAAAGGGUCAUUGAAACCUAAAGAAACUUAUCGGUCUAUAUCUAGCCACAAGCACAUGUAAAAGAUCAAAUACCUAAUCUAUUCAAUCUAAAGUUUCUUACGUACAGGGAGUAGAAAAGCAAACAACAAAAUUUGUAAACAUACUAUUGCCUCGGCAAUCAAGUUUAGUUUAUACGAAGGUUAACACUAAAUAUGACAAAAUCAGCAAAGCAAAAUCACAUUAAACCCGUAUGCUAUGUAGUUUGACUGCUGUAUGUUUGGAGGACGGAGGACUGAAGCAGAGAACAGUGAAGCUGCAUCACAGUCCCUAAUAUUGUCCAGC